CCCAAAUCAGGGCGAACCAGGCAGGGCUGGGGCAGCCCCUGUGGGACAUCAGCCCCAGCUGGGUGAUGCUGGGGCAGAGACCAGAGCCACACCAGCAGCCACCUGCAAGCGAUUGGGGGCUGGGGGCCCUUAUAAGCAGCAGGGGAACUGCCCCCAGCUGGGUGCUUUGGCAUUUUCCGGCCCCAAGGGAUGGCAGCUUAUGUUUGGGGGUGCCAAGGAGCCGGCCUGGCCACGCCACGCGCCGCCUGGUUUCCUCCUUGGCUGUGCCAGACCCUUCCCCGCCAGCUGAGCUUGAGAAAUCACACUUCCCUGCCAGGCACGCUCGCCGCCUGUCUCUGGGCUAUUUUUGCCGCAUCCUUUUGGAGGCACAGCAGCCAGAACCGAGCACGGCGACUUCAGCAUUCAAAGGCAGACCGUAAGCUUUAAUGGAGCUGGUGGCAUUAUAAUAUUUGCACUCGCCUUCCCCACCGCUUUCCUAAUAUAGCCCGACACCGGCCGGGAUUUUCAACUGUGGCGGCGCGCGGAGCAGCUCCCUGCUGUCCUGUCACCCCCGACCUGGCAGGUGGGUACAAUUUUCCAUCAAAACUACUAUAUCUGGCAAAGCCUGAAAUUAAAAAAAUAAUAAUAGAGUGAUUCAGAGGCUGUUGGCUCCCAGGGCAGCGAGGUGCCAUGGGCAGCGUUCCCACCAGAGGUACCAGCGCGCUGGGCGGGCAGGUCUCGUGCUGCGGGAUGCUGCGUGGGGGCGCAGGCAGUGAGCUCUUCCAUCACUUGGCCGGAAAAAUAUGAUGUCCCACGCUAGGAUGGAGUCGGUCCCAGCAGGACCACCGCCGUGCCCUGUUCUGCCACCUGGCAAGCACCUCCUCACCCCUCCAGGGACGUGCACGCGAGAGACGGGAGCGGAGCGAGGUGAUGCGCGGUGCCGUGGCACGGCUUGCCCUCGACGUUCUUCAACCCCCCGGGCGCUGGAGCAGCGUGGAGCUGAUAGAAAGCAGAU
Molecule: long non-coding RNA, 994 nt
Filed under: Anser brachyrhynchus (Pink-footed goose)
Lineage: Eukaryota; Metazoa; Chordata; Aves; Anseriformes; Anatidae
Description: lncRNA (ENSABRG00000010420.1)
Source: RNAcentral